GUAGCGGCGGGGUAACGGCCCACCGNGGCCGACGAUGCGUAGGGGUUCUGAGAGGAAGGCCCCCCACACUGGUACUGAGACACGGACCAGACUCCUACGGAAGGCAGCAG
RNAcentral lists this ribosomal RNA (110 nucleotides) under uncultured bacterium. RNAcentral's name for it is "partial 16S ribosomal RNA". It matches the Rfam family "Bacterial small subunit ribosomal RNA", at positions 245 to 354 of the family's 1533-position model. The record is from RNAcentral.